This 63-nucleotide microRNA precursor is filed under the name Pristionchus pacificus. Its description in RNAcentral is "mir-8364 microRNA precursor family". It matches the Rfam family "mir-8364 microRNA precursor family". The record is from Rfam by way of RNAcentral. Lineage: Eukaryota; Metazoa; Nematoda; Chromadorea; Rhabditida; Neodiplogasteridae.
UCUUCAUUUCACGUGCUCUCUCUCACCGGUCAGAGAGGCGAGAGAUUGUGUGAAAUGAAGAGA